UUUCCGUAGGUGAACCUGCGGAAGGAUCAUUCAUAAUAAGUGUUUUAUGGCACUUUUUUAAAUCCAUAUCCACCUUGUGUGCAAUGUCAGGGUUGAUUUUUCUCUCGAGAGGAUCAACCCCAAACAUCAACUAUAUCUCAACUCUUUGUCUGAAAAAUAUUAUGAAUAAAACCAUUCAAAAUACAACUUUCAACAACGGAUCUCUUGGUUCUG
Molecule: unclassified non-coding RNA, 213 nt
Filed under: plant metagenome
Description: partial contains small subunit ribosomal RNA, internal transcribed spacer 1, and 5.8S ribosomal RNA
Source: RNAcentral